UAUUAUCGUGUGUUACAUAAAGAACUAUUUUAUAUGCUUUUAUAUAUCCAAAUCACAUGCGAUUUACAAACUUUAUAGGGAACUUUCAUAUAUAUAACAUAUGUUAAAAUAGCAUUCUAUCUUUUGAAAUAUAAAUUGUUGUAAUGCAUGUAUAAACUAAACUUUUCUUAGAUUAUAUGUAUACUUGUCUAUCUUAGACUCUACACCAAAAAUCUAUGCUUUCAUAACAAAUGAUUCCUUUUCUAGGUAUUUCUAAACAAACGAGACACACUUUUAGAAAACUAUAAUAGGUAUAGUUUUACGAACAAAUUUCUAACUCUUAUGUACUAGAAACAUGAAUUUCAAGAAGUCACUUUCGUAUACAAGAACAAACGUAACAUUUUAACAAGUAGAUCUGUUUUUAUACCACGGUUUUGUGAGACACUAACUUCAUGUACGUUCGAGUACACAUUUCAAGUCCUGUAUUAUAUACCAGAAUCCCUUGGAGGGGGAGCAUGGUGUUUGUGUAUAGAUCUAUACGGGCUUGACAACCCGCGCCCUGACUGUUAGCUGCAGUCCACCGUUUGGGGUGACAAACGUCAUAACAUUCCAACGCCUGAAGAACGUUGUGUAUAGGCAUUCCGAGUCAAUAGUAUGGUUAUAAAACUCACAUGGGGUAUUAAAAAUGCAUUGAUUUACAAGGUUUUCAAACACAUUGGUUAUUUUACACUUACAUACAUUUUAGAAACAAACAUUGGUCUUGAGUGAAGGCUACUUUUAUACUAGUAGAAAAUAUAGGAUUUUCUAAACACAAACAAACAAAGACAAAACAUUUCAUUUCAUACAAACAUUGUCACUUAAAUACUUAUGAAACUCACCAGCUUAAAUGCUGAUCUACUCUUUCAAAAUUACUUGUAUGUCCCAGGAAAUCAGUAAUUUCAGGUAUUCAUUACGCUUUUGAUGAAGGGAUGCUGCGGCGCCAGUUUAAUCUCGUAUUUUGACAUCAUAUUGUAAUUGAGUUUUGAACAUGUAACUUUUGACAAAUGUAAACUUUCAAUUAUAUAUAUGAUGGUUGUAUUGCUUUCUUUACUAUGUAUUCAUUUGUUACGUUACCACAUGAAGUCAUCCGCCCCCGAACGUUUCCGCCGUUCAGGUUUGGGGGUGUGACAGAUUGGUAUCAGAGCAAUGUUUAUAGUGAACUAAGUAUAUCGAACCACAUAAGAUAUACAAACUAUAAAUGCUUAAGGGACUAAUACUCUCUGACAAAACAAAUUUUCUUUUUACACUUAAGCAGCAUUGCGUUCAACUUAAAUUGAUAGUUCAUUUAAGUACAAUUACAUGCAUACCACAAAUUAUUUUCAUGUUAUCCAACUAUACAAGUAUUUAGACAAGUUGACACUACGAUUGAGACUCGAUAUAUGUAAUCAGAUUUUGGACAAAUAUAGCGUGAUCAACUAUAUUUGCCCAAGAUUGGACCAACGUAUAUCGAGGAAUGAUCGUAGUAAGCAACAAGUCAAAACUUACCAAACCAUUACAAGAAUCAAACACAAGAAUUUAAAUACUAUAGGAGUAUUUGCUAUCUAAACUAGUUUAACUUACAUGUUUUGCAUGUUUCAACUUUAUUCAAUUCUUAUAACCCUAUUUCUCGUACAGUCAAAUGGCUGGAUUUCACCACCCUGGCGACCCCUACUUUCCCAACCAAGGCAACGGAGGAUGGAUCGAAGAUGAUCCCGAAGAGGACGAGGAACCCAUAGAAGUGGGUGAUGACUCCGGUACCGACUCAGAGCCGGAAGUUAUCGAUCCACCACCCAUUCAACCUCCCGUCUUCGUAAGGAACUUUCAAGGACCGACUCCCGUCUGGGGAAGUCACCUCCACCAUUGGAGCCAACAGCAAAACCUACGCCCUCCCUACGGCAUGUGCCGGGACUUCUAUGAUGUCCGCGGCGGAGGUUCGGCUGAUCGAGCACUCCCGGUAAUGGUGGGUAAGUUAGCCAAUCAGUCCUAUCAGUCCGGAGUUCAAGCUAGCCGACUCCGGGAUGUCAACGUAGAAGUGCAGGUUCACACUUCUGACAUCUGUAGGCUAGACAAGAUACAAGACAAUGCUCAACUCCAAACCAAAGCAUUUCAAGCGCAAAUGAUUACAGCCCUCGCUGAACUCAGGGAACAACAAGCCGCUUUUGAUAGGCGUCUAAUGGAGUCAAAGCAAUCAGAUGCGGAGUCAAGCUCCAAGCGCAACCUACGUCGCAAGUAGUGCUUGUCAAGGACUCAAAUUUUGUUAUAGCUUAGGACCUCGGCUAAAAGUCUUUAAAUUUCUCGAACUUUGUAAUCGGAGACCCUUAUAGGGGUCAAAUUUUCAUGAUCGUUGUAACAACUUUUAUAUUAAUAUAAGUGGCACUAUUACUACUAUGUUAAGUAUUUCGUUCGAACCUUGAAUGGUCUUUGUGAACCCAAAUACUUGUUUCAUACCUUCAGUCUUACAAAUAACUUUCAUUCUUCUAUUUUAAGACUCAUACUAUCAUCUGUUGUUGAACUAUAGCGAUUUAGUUCAUGAGACACAUACAUUUUCUAUUCUAUGAAAUUCUUAUCCUUGUCUUUUCAACCUAUAGUUGAAGGAUGCCUCCGCGUAGGAAUCCAAGGCGAAACAACGGUGGGGAAGCACCUGUACCACCACCACCUCCACCACCUCAAUUUGAUGCUGUUAUGUUCCAAGCAGCAGUCACCGCAGCGGUGGCAACUGCCAUGUCGCAGAUUAAUAACUCGAGUACUAAUGGCUUGGGAUCCGGCACACACCCAUCCAACCAUGGCGANNNNNNNNNNNNNNNNNNNNNNNNNNNNNNNNNNNNNNNNNNNNNNNNNNNNNNNNNNNNNNNNNNNNNNNNNNNNNNNNNNNNNNNNNNNNNNNNNNNNGUAACCCUGUACGCCCUGCGUACCCGAGGGCCUUGGUCUCGGUUCAUCCACGUCGCCCCUAUGCGAGGCUACCGACCCACCCAUCCGACCCGCCGUCCCAUCCGACCCGCCCCAUCCGAUCCGUCCCAUCCGAAGCCGAGGCAGUCGAGGACUCGGUCAUGCAUGACGUACGAGUACGCGCUGCGUACUAGCGUACGCCCCGCGUACCGAGGCUUCUCAGACCCCCUAUAAAUAGCAAUGCGAGGGUUCCGGAAAAAUCACCCCAUUUCUCUCCUUUCUCUCACGAUCUUGCCUCGAUUUCCGUGCCCGUUCAAACCCGAAGCUCUGGUCUUUUUGCUCAAGUCCCGAGGGUCGAUUUUACUCCCGAGAUUCCCGAGAAUCCCGAGAAAAAUCCGUUUCCCAAGACGAAACUCUGCCCGGUUUUCCAUCUCGCUAUCUUCAAACUUUCAAGUGAGUUCAUACCCCUUAAUUAACCUUUUUAAGAUAUUCUAAAUGCUUUUAUAUGCUUUCAAGGGGGGGAAUACAAGUAAAACACACGAGUAUUAUCGUGUGUUACAUAAAGAAUUAUUUUAUAUGCUUUUAUAUAUCCAAAUCAUAUGUGAUUUAUAAACUUUAUAGGGAACUUUCAUAUAUAUAAAAUAUGAAACAAUAGCAUUCUAUCUUUUGAAAUAUAAAUUGUUGUAAUGCAUGUAUAAACUAAACUUUUCUUGGAUUAUAUGUAUACUUGUCUAUCUUAGGCUCUACAAAAAUCUACGCUUGCAUAACAAAUGAUUCCUUUUCUAGGUAUUUCUAAACAAACGAGACACACUUUUAGAAAACUAUAAUAGGUAUAGUUUUACGAACAAAUUUCUAACUCUUAUGUACUAGAAACAUGAAUUUCAAGAAGUCACUUUCGUAUACAAGAACAAACGUAACAUUUUAACAAGUAGAUCUGUUUUUAUACCACGGUUUUUGUGAGACACUAACUUCACGUACGUUCGAGUACACAUUUCAAGUCCUGUAUUAUAUACCAGAAUCCCUUGGAGGGGGAGCAUGGUGUUUGUGUAUAGAUCUAUACGGGCUUGACAACCCGCGCCCUGACUGUUAGCUACAGUCCACCGUUUGGGGUGACAAACGUCAUAACAUUCCAACGCCUGAAGAACGUUGUGUAUAGGCAUUCCGAGUCAAUAGUAUGGUUAUAAAACUCACAUGGGGUAUUAAAAAUGCAUUGAUUUACAAGGUUUUCAAACACAUUGGUUAUUUUACACUUACAUACAUUUUAGAAACAAAC
This 4156-nucleotide long non-coding RNA is filed under the name Lactuca sativa (garden lettuce). Its description in RNAcentral is "long non-coding RNA (LSAT_LNC006435)". Lineage: Eukaryota; Viridiplantae; Streptophyta; Magnoliopsida; Asterales; Asteraceae. The record is from RNAcentral.